CCUACGGGAGGCAGCAGUGAGGAAUAUUGGUCAAUGGACGCAAGUCUGAACCAGCCACGUCGCGUGAAGGAAGACUGCUCUAUGAGUUGUAAACUGCUUUUGUAUGGUGAUAAACGGUUACACGUGUAUGUUUUUGUAUGUAUCCUCUGAAUAAGGAUCGGCUAACUCCGUGCCAGCAGCCGCGGUAAUACGGAGGAUUCAAGCGUUAUCCGGAUUUAUUGGGUGUAAAGGGUGCGUAGAUGGACUGAUAAGUUAGAGGUGAAAGUUUGAGGCUCAACUGCGGAAUUGCCUCUGAUACUGGUCGGCUAGAGAAUAGUUGAGGUAGGCGGAAUGUAUGGUGUAGCGGUGAAAUGCUUAGAGAUCAUACAGAACACCGAUUGCGAAGGCAGCUUACCAAGCUACUUCGGACGUUGAGGCACGAAAGCGUGGGGAGCAAACAGGAGUAGAUACCCGUGUAGUC
RNAcentral lists this ribosomal RNA (460 nucleotides) under uncultured bacterium. RNAcentral's name for it is "partial 16S ribosomal RNA". It matches the Rfam family "Bacterial small subunit ribosomal RNA", at positions 338 to 795 of the family's 1533-position model. The record is from RNAcentral.